AACGCGAAGAACCUUACCUACGUUGAACUACGCGGGAAAAGCCAUGGAGACAUGGUGUCCGAAAGGGUCCGCGAUAGGUGGUGCAUGGCUGUCGUCAGCUCGUGUCGUGAGAUGUUGGGUUAAGUCCCGCAACGAGCGCAACCCUUGUCCUAUGUUGCCAGCGGGUAAUGCCGGGGACUCGUAGGAGACUGCCGGGGUCAACUCGGAGGAAGGUGGGGAUGACGUCAAGUCUGCAUGCCCCUUACGCGUAGGGCUGCUAACAUGCUACAAUGGCCGGUACAAAGGGCUGCUAAUCCGCGAGGAGGAGCGAAUCCCAAAAAGCCGGUCUCAGUUCGGAUUGGAGUCUGCAACUCGACUCCAUGAAGUCGGAGUCGCUAGUAAUCCCGGAUCAGCUACGCCGGGGUGAAUACGUUCCCGGGCCUUGUA
Molecule: ribosomal RNA, 426 nt
Filed under: uncultured Actinomycetes bacterium
Lineage: Bacteria; Bacillati; Actinomycetota; Actinomycetes
Description: bacterial SSU rRNA
Rfam family: Bacterial small subunit ribosomal RNA
Source: RNAcentral